UACAUCAAACGCUUGAGCUCGGACAGUCUAGAUGGAGGAAAACUCCGAAGGAUAAGGAGCUUACUGCGCAAGGAGAGCUCUACGUCCAGUCUGCUGCCAGCCAUCCCUGGAGUGCCUGAAGAACAAAAGCAGCCGCUGACCUGCCAGCUGCAGGGCCAGGCAGAAACCGACAGCCAAGAAGACCUGGGCCGAGACCCAGGAACCAAACACGUGAGCUUCCGUGAGGAAGAACGGGAAGCGGACAAAGCCCAUCGUGUGGCUGCAGUGCUCAAGUUGCCCAAAGCCAACGAAUCUUUCACCAAAGAUUCCAGACCUUCCUCAAGGGCUCAGUCCAGCCCGUCGCAGGCAUCGCAAGGCACUCCAUCCCGGCUUCCACUUCUGGCAUGCGACUCAGUCAGACUUCUCAGGCGCAGGGCUAAGAAGAGCAGGCAGAAAGAACCUGAGGAGAUGGAAGCAUCAACAUCUCAGGCUGAGGCCAGCCAGCCGCAGGAGUCCUCUGCCAACAGAGCUGGAUUUCUGCCACCGAUACAUGAAGUAACACAGUCUCCUCAGCGUCAGCCCCCGGACACCAAAGCCCCUCCGCGCAGGAAGGGCACACCCUACCCACGCUGAUGCGGGCAUGGGGCGCCCAUGAGCUCCAAGAGCUCCACUCGAGCUGGCUGCAAAACAGAUGCGUGAAUCCCAUCUGCAUCAUAUCUAAUCCUAGACUAGGCUGCCGAGUGCCCAAUCCAACCUGGCCUUCAACACUGCCACGGACGCGGCGUCCACAAGCUCUCUGGGCAUCCGCUUCCAGCAUCUCACCACCGUCUCUGGAAAGACCUUCUCCCUGACAUCCAAUCUUCAUUGUCCCUCCCUCUGUCAAUAAAGCCUUACCAUGGGCCUAUCCCAUACAAAUCUC
Gallus gallus (chicken) is the source of this 898-nucleotide long non-coding RNA. RefSeq lists it as uncharacterized. The record is from RefSeq and is a predicted model, not a curated record. The transcript has 2 exons. Lineage: Eukaryota; Metazoa; Chordata; Aves; Galliformes; Phasianidae.